AUGAACGCUGGCGGCGUGCCUAAUACAUGCAAGUCGAGCGAACAGACGAGGAGCUUGCUCCUCUGACGUUAGCGGCGGACGGGUGAGUAACACGUGGAUAACCUACCUAUAAGACUGGGAUAACUUCGGGAAACCGGAGCUAAUACCGGAUAAUAUAUUGAACCGCAUGGUUCAAUAGUGAAAGACGGUUUUGCUGUCACUUAUAGAUGGAUCCGCGCCGCAUUAGCUAGUUGGUAAGGUAACGGCUUACCAAGGCAACGAUGCGUAGCCGACCUGAGAGGGCGAUCGGCCACACUGGAACUGAGACACGGUCCAGACUCCUACGGGAGGCAGCAGUAGGGAAUCUUCCGCAAAGGGCGAAAGCCUGACGGAGCAACGCCGCGUGAGUGAUGAAGGUCUUCGGAUCGUAAAACUCUGUUAUUAGGGAAGAACAAAUGUGUAAGUAACUAUGCACGUCUUGACGGUACCUAAUCAGAAAGCCACGGCUAACUACGUG
Molecule: ribosomal RNA, 496 nt
Filed under: uncultured bacterium
Lineage: Bacteria
Description: partial 16S ribosomal RNA
Rfam family: Bacterial small subunit ribosomal RNA
Source: RNAcentral